This 89-nucleotide transfer RNA is filed under the name Streptomyces tubercidicus. RNAcentral describes it as "tRNA-Gly". The record is from RNAcentral. Lineage: Bacteria; Bacillati; Actinomycetota; Actinomycetes; Kitasatosporales; Streptomycetaceae.
GGGUGUGCGGCCCGCUUCCAGGAGCCUGCGGGCCCGGCGCACCCGGGCGUCGGUGAGCCAGGUGUGCGGUGGCAUGCCGUACGCACCCU